GGAAACUGAGUUUAAGAGUUUAAACCAAAUGGACGGGUCCGAAAGUUCUACUGAUCGCUAAGUGCGCUCCUCACGAACCGUCCCACUAGGACCCGCGACGUCACCUGUAAUGGGGGUGGGGGGUAAGAACGUGUACACAUGUCUCCCCUCCUAGUGGGUACCGCAAGCCGGCGAGGGCGAGGGGUACUCACCAGUCACAGAGAAUAAACAAAGGCAUGGGUAAGGAUAAUACAGUAGCAACGAUAAUAAACGAACGAGAUAUGUAUAAAUGAACAACUACCGCUACUGUAUGUAUGCAUCAACCGGACGACAAGUCCAAAAUACCCAAUCUGAAACUGCCCUAUCGGUCCGUAGACCUCAGACCUGUGCCACAACUGCUCUAACCUGUA
This 389-nucleotide long non-coding RNA is filed under the name Ananas comosus (pineapple). Its description in RNAcentral is "long non-coding RNA (ACOM_LNC013088)". Lineage: Eukaryota; Viridiplantae; Streptophyta; Magnoliopsida; Poales; Bromeliaceae. The record is from RNAcentral.